This is a long non-coding RNA of Gopherus flavomarginatus (Mexican gopher tortoise), 1005 nucleotides long. RefSeq lists it as uncharacterized. Lineage: Eukaryota; Metazoa; Chordata; Testudines; Testudinidae. The record is from RefSeq and is a predicted model, not a curated record. The transcript is spliced from 5 exons.
GUCCCUCUGGAGUGACAGAGGGAUAGACCAAUAAGAGACGGAGACAGCUCCGAGGUGGCCCAAUCAGAAAUCGGGAAAGGUGAAGGGCCUGUGCGCAAUCCGAAAGAGGAGAGGUUCUGAUGGAUCGGCAGCGCUUUGGACCAAUGAAAGUCGGCAACAGCUUCCAUCUGUCGGCGAUGUAAGCGAGAAGAGAGGAUGAAAAGUUAGGCGGAGCUUAAGGUGACUGGCAGGUGGAUGGACAAUUUAUGUAUUGUCCAAUCAGCACUUCACACACAGGGACACGGGAGACGGAGGCGGGAUUUGGCGUGUAUGUGGAAGAGUGAGUACAACGAGAGUAAUCAUGCUAAAGCACCUAUCGCUAUAGCACAGUAAAACAGCGGAAGAUGCCAAAGGAAGAUGUCUUCAAGGAAAAGAAGGGAAGGAAUGUGAUGGAGGAAACCUGUCAAUCGAGAAGGGAAUGCUUUAGGGAAUGUGAGCUUCCUGCCUCAAAAUUUUGUAAUGGAAAAGGAAAACUUAUGAUUGGAAAGUGACCUGUUGUGUUUGUGGAAGCUCUGGAAUCCCACAGGAGAAGGAUCACUCAACACCAUGGCAAUCUGCCAAGUACAACUUGUUCUGAAACACAGUGGCUCUGAGAAGAUGCAUUAUCAUCUGAAACACAAUGUCAUCGUAGUGGGAGGUAGGAUACUAUUGAUUACACUGGUCUACAAUUUUUGAGAAGUCGUCUGCUUCAGAGAUAAAAUGUGAUAUUUAUUAUGUAUUUUGAUGUGCUGAAUUCAAAUAUGACAAUUAAAACAACUGAUUGGCUACUAUUUCUAAGAUAUUUAAGUUUUUACAUUUUAUGUCUAUGUAUAUUGUGUAGAUAGUAGAGUUUUAAUCAUAAAUUGUAAACCUAGAUCUUUUAAUGUGUUUAUGGUUGCUUUACAUGAUAAUAUUUCACCUGUCCUGUUUAUGUAACACUUUAAAAAUCAGCAAAAGGGGUAUAUAAAUAAAAUGUAUUAUGAAACA